UUGGCAACACUGAAAUGUCCAGCAAAGGACGGCACUGUUGCCAGAUUUACCUUUUUCCUUUUAGCGGGAAUUUUAAAAUUAGUCAAAUGCUUUGGUUUUAAAAGAGAGUUCUGUGGUGGGAUCACGAUCAGUAGAAUGGUAGAAUGCUGAUGUCACAAAAAUAAUUCUACAAUCGACAAUUUUGGUAUCACGUUAACACGCUUGGGAAAGUAGAAUCGGUGCUCGGCAAUGUUCGGAUAUUCUACUAGCCAUGUUAAAAAUAUCGCUUCUUCUUCUUAAAAAUAUUGCUGUUUGACGUGUGGUUGUCUUUAUUUUGUGGUGGUUGUAUUCAAAAAGUUAACCUAAAGAAAGAUUAUAAUUUGUGAUUAUUUUCAAUUUGUAUAUUUUUGUCUUGGGUUGUUUGGAACUAUUUUAUUAGAAAUCACUAAAUUUUUAAAUUUUACCUGUGACUAGAGAACAUUGUUAUAUUAAGGUAUUUUUAUUCUUGGUAUGAAACAAUGUUAAGACAAUACUGUGUGCUUUUUCAGUCCUAUGAAAGAAAAUGUUUUGGAUGUAAUAGAGAAGUACUACAACUUUGUUAUGAAGAUUUGUCUUUAUGUUAUUUUUAUAAUGUUCAUGGAUUAUAUUUGUUUUUAUGUUUUCUUCAGUUUAAAUAAAGUUUAUGUUUUACCCA
RNAcentral lists this long non-coding RNA (673 nucleotides) under Diabrotica virgifera virgifera (western corn rootworm). Its description in RNAcentral is "uncharacterized LOC126891986". Lineage: Eukaryota; Metazoa; Arthropoda; Insecta; Coleoptera; Chrysomelidae. The record is from RNAcentral.